This 76-nucleotide transfer RNA is filed under the name Candidatus Bathyarchaeota archaeon. RNAcentral's name for it is "tRNA-Pro". It matches the Rfam family "tRNA". Rfam says of the family: Transfer RNA (tRNA) molecules are approximately 80 nucleotides in length. Their secondary structure includes four short double-helical elements and three loops (D, anti-codon, and T loops). Lineage: Archaea; Thermoproteati; Candidatus Bathyarchaeota. The record is from RNAcentral.
GGGGCAGUCGUCUAGCUUGGUCUAAGAUCCCAGCCUGGGGCGCUGGAGAUCGUGGGUUCAAAUCCCACCUGCCCCA